Molecule: ribosomal RNA, 552 nt
Filed under: Cryptosporidium suis
Lineage: Eukaryota; Apicomplexa; Conoidasida; Eucoccidiorida; Cryptosporidiidae
Description: partial small subunit ribosomal RNA
Rfam family: Eukaryotic small subunit ribosomal RNA
Source: RNAcentral
CUAGCACGAGGCAUGCUAGAGCAGGACAUCCUUGAUGAUUGGGAGACGACGUGAGAACUUAUACCACCACAAGAGAAGGUCUCAGGCGCGCAAAUUACCCAAUCCUAAUACAGGGAGGUAGUGACAAGAAAUAACAAUACAGGACUUUUUUAGUUUUGUAAUUGGAAUGAGUUAAGUAUAAACCCCUUUACAAGUAUCAAUUGGAGGGCAAGUCUGGUGCCAGCAGCCGCGGUAAUUCCAGCUCCAAUAGCGUAUAUUAAAGUUGUUGCAGUUAAAAAGCUCGUAGUUGGAUUUCUGUUAAUAAUUUAUAUAUAAUAUUUUUAAUAUUUAUAUAAUAUUAACAUAAUUCAUAUUACUAUAUUAUUAUUAGUAUAUGAAAUUUUACUUUGAGAAAAUUAGAGUGCUUAAAGCAGGCAUAUGCCUUGAAUACUCCAGCAUGGAAUAAUAUAAAAGAUUUUUAUCUUUUUUAUUGGUUCUAAGAUAAAAAUAAUGAUUAAUAGGGACAGUUGGGGGCAUUUGUAUUUAACAGUCAGAGGUGCAUUUUUUUAAAAA